CGAGGCGAGUCAGUCGACCGGUAGACCAUGACAGGUGGGCAGUGUGGCUAGCGACGAACGGGGUCCAAUGUCUCCAACUCUCUAUAGCGACGAGUGUACCAACACACGUGCAGUUCGAUUCCUGUCUCUCCAAACGACGCUUGCAGUCUAAAAGGAGUCCAGCAUGACCAAUAUCAGCAUCGACGGUUGUAUUAUUGGACUAAGUUUUCCCGACCUAUUAUAAUGGAGUUUAAGCAUAUGGUCAUGUUGGCAUUGGAGCAAACAAAAUGGAGGCUGCUCGAGCACGUGAAUGUCCAAGCUUUUUUCGUACCAGAAUCAGCAUCGUUCAGCUAGUCACAUGCUGGCCAUAUUCAAGUGAUGGCACUCCAUGCGGAUCGGUAGACUACGCGUCGGAAUCAAGGUUAGAAAUGGUCGUGCCUGCAGAAAGGUCCUGGAAGAGUACAGUAAACAAAUCCCACCAUCUUCUCAAUUGCCUGCUACGCUUCGUAACGUUAUUGUAUUUUUCGUUAUGCCAAAUGUAUGGAAGCAGAACAAACUGGAAACGGAAUGAAGUCAUCAACUAAAAAGACCAUAACAAUCAUCAAACUAAUUAGGCAAACAAUGGGAGGUCCAAAACGCUAACGGAUACUUGGAAUAACAGUUGAAAGUUAUUAUGGGACGGUGACUGUCCCUGGUCAACAUUUCUCAUUUUGUCGUUACAGAUGAGCAACAACACAAAGAAAGAAAAAAAUUACCAAAUCAUUUCCAGGUUCUGCUCUCAGUUGCAUUUUUAAAAUCGUAUUAGGGUCUAUGAUUGGCAGAAUUAACAAAUACGAUGCUCGAUUGGCUCCCACUGACGCGACUACGCCAUUCCCUAAAAACAAAAACAAAAAACAAAAACAUAAAGAGUGUUAACCUAAAAAGAUCAAUAUGUUAACGGUUGUCUCAACCAGUCAUUUGCCUCUCUGAGUAAACCAACCUACACUAUAAAUAGGACUUAACGUACACCCCUGUCUCGGUUCCUUUUUUCAUUUUUUCCCGGAUCUAUUUUCUAACGCGUCUACUAAACUGUGUAGAAAAAUAAAGCAGAACUACAAAACUGUUAGCCAUGUUCCAUGACAAACAU
Daphnia magna is the source of this 1105-nucleotide long non-coding RNA. RefSeq lists it as uncharacterized. NCBI's taxonomy places the organism in Eukaryota, Metazoa, Arthropoda, Branchiopoda, Diplostraca, Daphniidae. The transcript has 4 exons. The record is from RefSeq and is a predicted model, not a curated record.